Molecule: long non-coding RNA, 658 nt
Filed under: Homo sapiens (human)
Lineage: Eukaryota; Metazoa; Chordata; Mammalia; Primates; Hominidae
Description: non-protein coding lnc-PDGFD-1:17
Source: RNAcentral
ACUAUGCACCUAUUAACUCAUCAGAUCUGCAUCUCUAGAUUCAUCUCCUCUAUGCCAGGUAUUAUACCAGUCAACACUUUAUGUAUUUCAUCCUCAUGACAACUCCACAUGGUCUCGCAUGGUUCUGAACACAUAGUAAAUGCUGAAUUACUAUUUCCUAAAUUAUCAUAAAGCUGAGAAGAAUCAUGAUUCUCAAACUUCACCUUGGAAUUAAAAUGGAUUUCCUUGAGAAGCACAUAUGAGCCGCUUCUACCCCAGGUAAGCAGACCUCUCCUGUGAUGUUCUGGAUAUGCCUGUCUCAACAGAUUUCAGGGUGGCCGUCUUCUCUGCAAAUUCAGUUCUCUGAUGUGUCCAAGGAGCUGCGGACCAGAGCUGUUCCCAUUCGGCCAUCUUGGACUCUGUCUUAUGUUUGGAAACAACUCUAAUGGUGAUGCCUGUGAGCUGGAGCAUUAGCCUGAAUGCCACCUGCAAUGCAGGUAAAGCAAGGUACAACCUAACAUGACUAGAUUAGAAGUGUGGCAUAGCAGCCAGCUGGCACCAAGGGAAGGCGGCGAGUUAUCUGAAGUAUACAGGAAAAUAUAAUAGAGUGUGCUCAAGGCAGUAAAUAAUUUUACCUAAAUAGUUACAUGAUGCUGAAGGGCCAAUUCAUAACUAGCGG